RNAcentral lists this ribosomal RNA (385 nucleotides) under uncultured bacterium. RNAcentral describes it as "bacterial SSU rRNA". It matches the Rfam family "Bacterial small subunit ribosomal RNA", at positions 29 to 417 of the family's 1533-position model. The record is from RNAcentral.
AUUAAACGCUGGCGGCAUGCCUUACACAUGCAAGUCGAACGGUAGCGCGGGGCAACCUGGCGACGAGUGGCGAACGGGUGAGUAAAGCAUCGGAACGUGCCCUGGAAUGGGGGAUAACGUAGCGAAAGUUACGCUAAUACCGCAUAUUCUGUGAGCAGGAAAGCAGGGGAUCGCAAGACCUUGCGUUCUGGGAGCGGCCGAUGUCGGAUUAGCUAGUUGGUGGGGUAAAAGCCUACCAAGGCGACGAUCCGUAGCGGGUCUGAGAGGAUGAUCCGCCACACUGGGACUGAGACACGGCCCAGACUCCUACGGGAGGCAGCAGUGGGGAAUUUUGGACAAUGGGCGCAAGCCUGAUCCAGCCAUGCCGCGUGAGUGAAGAAGGCCU